AUGUCCUUUUUUGAUUCUACUCCUAUAGGCAGGAUUCUUAGCCGGGGUAAGAAAAGCCUGAAACAAAUGACCGAUAUGGUAAUUACAGUUCUGUUUCACAUUCAUUUUCUAAUGAUGGAUUAUCCCCUGCAGGUCUCUUCAGAUUUGAGUAUCAUUGAUCUUGAUGUUCCAUUUGCCUUCAUGUUUACCUUUAGUGCCAGCUUAACUACAUAUAGCAAUCUGGUAGUGUUGGCUGUUGUCACAUGGCAAGUUCUGUUUGUAUCGUCGCCGAUGAUAGUUUUGGCAAUUCGGUUGCAGAUGUUUUCUCACAAUUCUGAUUGA
Molecule: ribosomal RNA, 321 nt
Filed under: Triticum aestivum (bread wheat)
Lineage: Eukaryota; Viridiplantae; Streptophyta; Magnoliopsida; Poales; Poaceae
Description: partial small subunit ribosomal RNA
Source: RNAcentral